Molecule: ribosomal RNA, 301 nt
Filed under: uncultured bacterium
Lineage: Bacteria
Description: partial 16S ribosomal RNA
Rfam family: Bacterial small subunit ribosomal RNA
Source: RNAcentral
CAGUCGCCGCGGGAAUACGUAGGUGGCAAGCGUUAUCCGGAAUUAUUGGGCGUAAAGCGCGCGUAGGCGGUUUUUUAAGUCUGAUGUGAAAGCCCACGGCUCAACCGUGGAGGGUCAUUGGAAACUGGAAAACUUGAGUGCAGAAGAGGAAAGUGGAAUUCCAUGUGUAGCGGUGAAAUGCGCAGAGAUAUGGAGGAACACCAGUGGCGAAGGCGGCUUUCUGGUCUGCAACUGACGCUGAUGUGCGAAAGCGUGGGGAUCAAACAGGAUUAGAUACCCCGGUAGUCCCUGUCUCUUAUAC